RNAcentral lists this ribosomal RNA (396 nucleotides) under uncultured bacterium. RNAcentral describes it as "partial 16S ribosomal RNA". It matches the Rfam family "Bacterial small subunit ribosomal RNA", at positions 523 to 918 of the family's 1533-position model. The record is from RNAcentral.
AUACGUAGGUGGCAAGCGUUGUCCGGAUUUACUGGGUGUAAAGGGCGUGUAGGCGGAGAUGCAAGUCAGGAGUGAAAUCUAGGGGCUCAACCCCUAAACUGCUUUUGAAACUGUAUCCCUUGAGUAUCGGAGAGGCAGGCGGAAUUUCUAGUGGAGCGGUGAAAUGCGUAGAUAUUAGGAGGAAAACCAGUGGCGAAGGCGGCCUGCUGGACGACAACUGACGCUGAGGCGCGAAAGCGUGGGGAGCAAACAGGAGUAGAUACCCUGGUAGUCCACGCUGUAAACGAUGAAUACUAGGUGUGGGGGGACUGACCCCCUCCGUGCCGCAGUUAACACAAUAAGGAUUCCACCUGGGGAGUACGAUCGCAAGAUUGAAACUCAAAGGAAUUGACGGGG